Molecule: ribosomal RNA, 490 nt
Filed under: uncultured bacterium
Lineage: Bacteria
Description: partial 16S ribosomal RNA
Rfam family: Bacterial small subunit ribosomal RNA
Source: RNAcentral
AUUGAACGCUGGCGGCAGGCCUAACACAUGCAAGUCGAACGGUAACAGGAAGAAGCUUGCUUCUUUGCUGACGAGUGGCGGACGGGUGAGUAAUGUCUGGGAAACUGCCUGAUGGAGGGGGGUAACUACUGGAAACGGUAGCUAAUACCGCAUAACGUCGCAAGACCAAAGAGGGGGACCUUCGGGCCUCUUGCCAUCGGAUGUGCCCAGAUGGGAUUAGCUAGUAGGUGGGGUAACGGCUCACCUAGGCGACGAUCCCUAGCUGGUCUGAGAGGAUGACCAGCCACACUGGAACUGAGACACGGUCCAGACUCCUACGGGAGGCAGCAGUGGGGAAUAUUACACAAUGGGCGCAAGCCUGAUGCAGCCAUGCCGCGUGUAUGAAGAAGGCCUUCGGGUUGUAAAGUACUUUCAGCGGGGAGGAAGGGAGUAAAGUUAAUACCUUUGCUCAUUGACGUUACCCGCAGAAGAAGCACCGGCUAACUCCGUG